RNAcentral lists this unclassified non-coding RNA (199 nucleotides) under uncultured fungus. Its description in RNAcentral is "sequence contains ITS1". The record is from RNAcentral. Lineage: Eukaryota; Fungi.
UUGACUUAUUUUAUAAGUUACUCAGAGAUACCAAUUAAAAUCGAGAGUUAAGAUAACUUCGGCAGGCUACCUACCCCGGAGGGGAGAUAUAGAACCCUGGUGGGAACUACCUGCCGAAGCAAUAGUUAUGGUGACGUUCACAAUGGUUUGGGAGUUUUGCAACUCUGUAAUGAUCCCCCCGCUGGUUCACCAACGGAGA